CACUCCUACGGGAGGCAGCAGUGGGGAAUAUUGCACAAUGGGCGCAAGCCUGAUGCAGCCAUGCCGCGUGUAUGAAGAAGGCCUUCGGGUUGUAAAGUACUUUCAGCGGGGAGGAAGGCGAUAAGGUUAAUAACCUUGUUGAUUGACGUUACCCGCAGAAGAAGCACCGGCUAACUCCGUGCCAGCAGCCGCGGUAAUACGGAGGGUGCAAGCGUUAAUCGGAAUUACUGGGCGUAAAGCGCACGCAGGCGGUCUGUCAAGUCGGAUGUGAAAUCCCCGGGCUCAACCUGGGAACUGCAUUCGAAACUGGCAGGCUAGAGUCUUGUAGAGGGGGGUAGAAUUCCAGGUGUAGCGGUGAAAUGCGUAGAGAUCUGGAGGAAUACCGGUGGCGAAGGCGGCCCCCUGGACAAAGACUGACGCUCAGGUGCGAAAGCGUGGGGAGCAAACAGGAUUAGAAACCCGGGUAGUCCCA
This 472-nucleotide ribosomal RNA is filed under the name uncultured organism. RNAcentral describes it as "partial 16S ribosomal RNA". It matches the Rfam family "Bacterial small subunit ribosomal RNA", at positions 334 to 797 of the family's 1533-position model. The record is from RNAcentral.